CGGGGGGGGCAAGCGUUGUUCGGAAUUACUGGGCGUAAAGGGCUCGUAGGUGGCCAACUAAGUCAGACGUGAAAUCCCUCGGCUUAACCGGGGAACUGCGUCUGAUACUGGAUGGCUUGAGUUCGGGAGAGGGAUGCGGAAUUCCAGGUGUAGCGGUGAAAUGCGUAGAUAUCUGGAGGAACACCGGUGGCGAAGGCGGCAUCCUGGACCGACACUGACACUGAUGAGCGAAAGCCAGGGGAGCAAACGGGAUUAGAUACCCCGGUAGUCCUGGCCCUAAACGAUGAAUGCUUGGUGUGGCGGGUAUCGAUCCCUGCCGUGCCGAAGCUAACGCAUUAAGCAUUCCGCCCGGGGAGUACGGUCGCAAGGCUG
This 372-nucleotide ribosomal RNA is filed under the name uncultured organism. Its description in RNAcentral is "bacterial SSU rRNA". It matches the Rfam family "Bacterial small subunit ribosomal RNA", at positions 526 to 896 of the family's 1533-position model. The record is from RNAcentral.